This 555-nucleotide ribosomal RNA is filed under the name Escherichia coli. RNAcentral's name for it is "partial 23S ribosomal RNA". It matches the Rfam family "Bacterial large subunit ribosomal RNA", at positions 2388 to 2925 of the family's 2925-position model. Lineage: Bacteria; Pseudomonadati; Pseudomonadota; Gammaproteobacteria; Enterobacterales; Enterobacteriaceae. The record is from RNAcentral.
CGCGAGCAGGUGCGAAAGCAGGUCAUAGUGAUCCGGUGGUUCUGAAUGGAAGGGCCAUCGCUCAACGGAUAAAAGGUACUCCGGGGAUAACAGGCUGAUACCGCCCAAGAGUUCAUAUCGACGGCGGUGUUUGGCACCUCGAUGUCGGCUCAUCACAUCCUGGGGCUGAAGUAGGUCCCAAGGGUAUGGCUGUUCGCCAUUUAAAGUGGUACGCGAGCUGGGUUUAGAACGUCGUGAGACAGUUCGGUCCCUAUCUGCCGUGGGCGCUGGAGAACUGAGGGGGGCUGCUCCUAGUACGAGAGGACCGGAGUGGACGCAUCACUGGUGUUCGGGUUGUCAUGCCAAUGGCACUGCCCGGUAGCUAAAUGCGGAAGAGAUAAGUGCUGAAAGCAUCUAAGCACGAAACUUGCCCCGAGAUGAGUUCUCCCUGACUCCUUGAGAGUCCUGAAGGAACGUUGAAGACGACGACGUUGAUAGGCCGGGUGUGUAAGCGCAGCGAUGCGUUGAGCUAACCGGUACUAAUGAACCGUGAGGCUUAACCUUACAACGCCGAAG